GAUGAAGAACGUAGCGAAAUGCGAUACUUGGUGUGAAUUGCAGAAUCCCGUGAACCAUCGAGUCUUUGAACGCAAGUUGCGCCCGAAGCCAUUAGGCCGAGGGCACGCCUGCCUGGGCGUCACACGUCGUUGCCCCCCCCAUCUACUCCUUCGGGAUUGCGGGGGGCGGAUGAUGGCCUCCCGUGCGCCUCGCCGCGCGGUUGGCAUAAAUGCCAAGUCCUCGGCGAUGCACGCCACGACAAUCGGUGGUUGCGAAACCUCGGUUGCCCGUCGUGUGCGGUCGUCGCGCAUCGAGGGCUCGAAAAAAUUGCCGGGUUCCGGCUCGGCUUUCAACGCGACCCCAGGUCAGGCGGGGUUACCCGCUGAGUUUAAGCAUAUCAAUAAGCGGAGGA
RNAcentral lists this unclassified non-coding RNA (392 nucleotides) under soil metagenome. RNAcentral's name for it is "partial contains 5.8S ribosomal RNA, internal transcribed spacer 2, and large subunit ribosomal RNA". The stretch from base 1 to 122 matches the Rfam family "5.8S ribosomal RNA", at positions 35 to 154 of the family's 154-position model. The record is from RNAcentral.